This 430-nucleotide ribosomal RNA is filed under the name Coniochaeta sp. OT1A-315. Its description in RNAcentral is "eukaryotic LSU rRNA". The stretch from base 84 to 237 matches the Rfam family "5.8S ribosomal RNA". Lineage: Eukaryota; Fungi; Ascomycota; Sordariomycetes; Coniochaetales; Coniochaetaceae. The record is from RNAcentral.
UCCCUCGCGGGGGGUGCCCGCCGGCGUACGAAAACUCUUUUGUAUUUUAGUGGCCUCUCUGAGAAAACAAGCAAAUAAGUUAAAACUUUCAACAACGGAUCUCUUGGUUCUGGCAUCGAUGAAGAACGCAGCGAAAUGCGAUAAGUAAUGUGAAUUGCAGAAUUCAGUGAAUCAUCGAAUCUUUGAACGCACAUUGCGCCCGCUAGUACUCUAGCGGGCAUGCCUGUUCGAGCGUCAUUUCAACCCUCAAGCCCUGCUUGGUGUUGGGGUCCUACGGCUGCCGUAGGCCCUGAAAACUAGUGGCGGGCUCGCUAUAACUCCGAGCGUAGUAGUAAAAUAUCUCGCUAGGGAGGUGUCGCGGGUUCCGGCCGUGAAAGCCCCAUCUUUUACACAAGGUUGACCUCGGAUCAGGUAGGAAUACCCGCUGAAC